RNAcentral lists this ribosomal RNA (301 nucleotides) under uncultured bacterium. RNAcentral describes it as "partial 16S ribosomal RNA". It matches the Rfam family "Bacterial small subunit ribosomal RNA", at positions 509 to 807 of the family's 1533-position model. The record is from RNAcentral.
CAGCCGCCGCGGGAAUACCGAGGGUGCAAGCGUUAAUCGGAAUUACUGGGCGUAAAGCGCGCGUAGGUGGUUUGUUAAGUUGGAUGUGAAAUCCCCGGGCUCAACCUGGGAACUGCAUCCAAAACUGGCAAGCUAGAGUAUGGUAGAGGGUGGUGGAAUUUCCUGUGUAGCGGUGAAAUGCGUAGAUAUAGGAAGGAACACCAGUGGCGAAGGCGACCACCUGGACUGAUACUGACACUGAGGUGCGAAAGCGUGGGGAGCAAACAGGAUUAGAUACCCCCGUAGUCCCUGUCUCUUAUAC